CCUACGGGAGGCAGCAGUGAGGAAUAUUGGUCAAUGGUCGGGAGCCUGAACCAGCCAAGUCGCGUGAGGGAGUACUGCCCUAUGGAUUGUAAACCUCUUUUGUCGGGGAGCAAAAGCUGGACGUGUUCGGCGGUUAGAGUACCCUAAGAAAAAGCAUCGGCAAACUCCGUUCCAGCCGCCGCGGUAAUACGGAGGAUGCGAGCGUUAUUCGGAUUUAUUGGGUUUAAAGGGUGCGCAGGCGGGUUUGUUAGUCAGCGGUAAAAUCCUGGGGCUCAACCCCCUCCCGCCGUUGAAACUGGGAGUCUAGAGUGGGCGAGAGGUAUGCGGAAUGCGCGGUGUAGCGGUGAAAUGCAUAGAUAUCACGCAGAACCCCGAUUGCGAAGGCAGCAUACCGGUGCAACACUGACGCUGAGGCACGAAAGCGUGGGUAUCGAACAGGAUUAGAUACCCCUGUAGUC
This 458-nucleotide ribosomal RNA is filed under the name uncultured bacterium. RNAcentral's name for it is "partial 16S ribosomal RNA". It matches the Rfam family "Bacterial small subunit ribosomal RNA", at positions 338 to 795 of the family's 1533-position model. The record is from RNAcentral.